RNAcentral lists this transfer RNA (68 nucleotides) under Gammarus benignus. RNAcentral's name for it is "tRNA-Val". The record is from RNAcentral. Lineage: Eukaryota; Metazoa; Arthropoda; Malacostraca; Amphipoda; Gammaridae.
GGUGAUAAAAUUUCAUUUACAAUGAAAGUAACCUAAACGGCACCUGUAUAGUUAUAAGAUAGAUAGAA